GGCGUCGUUAGUGCAGUGAGUUGGAGCACGCGCCUCUCGUAUAGAGUUGAAUGUGGGUUCGAGUCCCGACUGAUGUCA
Molecule: non-coding RNA, 78 nt
Organism: Parelaphostrongylus tenuis
Lineage: Eukaryota; Metazoa; Nematoda; Chromadorea; Rhabditida; Metastrongylidae
Source: the annotation of a GenBank genome assembly